AUCCAUCUGACGAGUUCUGAAUGGGACGAAACGCGCAUCCUGGAU
This 45-nucleotide non-coding RNA is filed under the name Schistosoma mattheei. Lineage: Eukaryota; Metazoa; Platyhelminthes; Trematoda; Strigeidida; Schistosomatidae. The record is from RNAcentral.